RNAcentral lists this unclassified non-coding RNA (226 nucleotides) under Hevea brasiliensis (rubber tree). The record is from RNAcentral. Lineage: Eukaryota; Viridiplantae; Streptophyta; Magnoliopsida; Malpighiales; Euphorbiaceae.
GCUACAGCUAGCGAGAUCAUUGCUCUACCUAAAGCUAAGCUGAUUUAGCCAGUAAUAUCAUAUGAUCUGGUAGUGCAUAUAUAAGUAUAUGUGUCAUUCUCAAGCUCCAGUGUGCUACUUUCUCCCCUCCAGUUAACAUAUACGUCUAGGUUUUGUUAUCUAUAGUGCAAAUUUUACCAAAGCUACCUCUCAAUUCUCUCUGAUAUGUUUCCGUCAAGCAACAAUG